This 372-nucleotide ribosomal RNA is filed under the name uncultured bacterium. RNAcentral describes it as "bacterial SSU rRNA". It matches the Rfam family "Bacterial small subunit ribosomal RNA", at positions 28 to 419 of the family's 1533-position model. The record is from RNAcentral.
GAUGAACGCUGGCGGCGUGCCUAAUACAUGCAAGUCGAGCGAACCACUUCGGUGGUGAGCGGCGAACGGGUGAGUAACACGUAGGUGAUCUGCCCAUCAGACGGGGACAACGAUUGGAAACGAUCGCUAAUACCGGAUAGGACGAAAGUUUAAAGGUGCUUCUGGCACCGCUGAUGGAUGAGCCUGCGGCGCAUUAGCUAGUUGGUAGGGUAAAGGCCUACCAAGGCGACGAUGCGUAGCCGACCUGAGAGGGUGAACGGCCACACUGGGACUGAGACACGGCCCAGACUCCUACGGGAGGCAGCAGUAGGGAAUCUUCGGCAAUGGGCGAAAGCCUGACCGAGCAACGCCGCGUGAAUGAUGAAGGCCUUC